This 105-nucleotide non-coding RNA is filed under the name Algibacter lectus. Lineage: Bacteria; Pseudomonadati; Bacteroidota; Flavobacteriia; Flavobacteriales; Flavobacteriaceae. The record is from RNAcentral.
AUUUAGUCGACAAACUGCGUUAGGGAUUGGAGCAUUGUUGGAGCUCUUUUUGUGUGGUUGCACCUAUGCAACACAAAAAAGCGACUGCGGAAAGCCCGACCCUUG